UGUGCGUCGCACAUAGGUCAUUUUAUGUAUUUUAGGAAUUAAUAAAUAAAAAAAUUGAAUGUCGAAAAAAAUAUUUUUUUAUAUUUCAUCUUGGAGGUAGGGCCCCAUAGAUAUUAUAUCUGCGAUAUUAUAUUUUAAUAUUAACAGAAGUGGCCAUGGCCAGAAUGACAAUGUCAAAGUUUGUUUGAAUUAUUUCGCAUAGUAAAAUUACUGUCAUUAGUUCAUAAAGUUUCGAAUUUUGUUGUUACGAAUAGAAGGUGAGUUUAAAAAGUAGUGUUGUGUUAUUGUGUACCAUAAGGUACCAUGUCAAUAGAAAAAUCUCUCUUGUUUUCUGCUUGGUGUGAAGGCAAUUCUUUGAAG
RNAcentral lists this long non-coding RNA (360 nucleotides) under Sitophilus oryzae (rice weevil). Its description in RNAcentral is "uncharacterized LOC115881398". The record is from RNAcentral. Lineage: Eukaryota; Metazoa; Arthropoda; Insecta; Coleoptera; Curculionidae.